GCCGGGGUGGCGGAAUCGGUAGACGCAGCGGACUCAAAAUCCGCCGCCGCAAGGCGUGAGGGUUCGAGUCCCUCUCCCGGCACCA
This 85-nucleotide transfer RNA is filed under the name Zoogloeaceae bacterium. RNAcentral describes it as "tRNA-Leu". It matches the Rfam family "tRNA". Rfam says of the family: Transfer RNA (tRNA) molecules are approximately 80 nucleotides in length. The record is from RNAcentral. Lineage: Bacteria; Pseudomonadati; Pseudomonadota; Betaproteobacteria; Rhodocyclales; Zoogloeaceae.